Molecule: ribosomal RNA, 274 nt
Filed under: uncultured bacterium
Lineage: Bacteria
Description: partial 16S ribosomal RNA
Rfam family: Bacterial small subunit ribosomal RNA
Source: RNAcentral
AUACGAAGGGGGCUAGCGUUGUUCGGAAUAACUGGGCGUAAAGCGCACGUAGGCGGAUUGUUAAGUUAGGGGUGAAAUCCCAGGGCUCAACCCUGGAACUGCCUCUAAUACUGGCGGUCUAGAGUCCGAGAGAGGUGAGUGGAAUUCCGAGUGUAGAGGUGAAAUUCGUAGAUAUUCGGAGGAACACCAGUGGCGAAGGCGGCUUUCUGGACCAAUACUGACGCUGAGGCGCGAAAGCGUGGGGAGCAAACAGGAUUAGAUACCCGUGUAGUCC